Molecule: ribosomal RNA, 787 nt
Filed under: Coleoptera sp. NZAC 03010573
Lineage: Eukaryota; Metazoa; Arthropoda; Insecta; Coleoptera
Description: eukaryotic LSU rRNA
Rfam family: Eukaryotic large subunit ribosomal RNA
Source: RNAcentral
UACGUGAAACCGUUCAGGGGUAAACCUGAGAAACCCGAAAGGUCGAAAGGGGAGAUUCAGCGCGUCUAAAGUUUCGACGUCGGGACGUUUCGUGACGAACGGCGUUCGCGUCGUCAGCACGUACGUUUCGUCGAAUCGUUUCUGAACGCGUGCACUUCUCCCCCGGUAGGACGUCGCGACCCGUUGGGCGUCGGUCUAAGGGCCGCGGUGGAGACCGAUCGGACGGUUCGCCGUACCGAUCGAACCCGUGGUUUUACCCGGCCGACACGCUCGACGGUAUACGUAUGGCGCCGGGCCGCUACAUAGUUAGCGUUCGACCUGUGGCAAGCUCGUUUCUCGCUUCGAUCAUCGGACCUGGUGCCGAUUUCGGGCGAGGACGGCUGUUCGCCGCAGCGUUCUCGAACAGACCCGUUGAAACGCCGUUCUGCGACGCUAUUGCUUUGGGUACUUUCAGGACCCGUCUUGAAACACGGACCAAGGAGUCUAGCAUGCACGCGAGUCAUUGGGACUCAUAACUAUAUCUAAAGGCGUAAUGAAAGUGAAAGUCAACCUCGCGUUGACCCAGGGAGGAUGGGUGAUCCUUGGAUCGCUCCGCACUCCCGGGGCGUCUCGUUCUCAUUGCGAGAUGAGGCGCACCAAUAGCGUACACGCUGGGACCCGAAAGAUGGUGAACUAUGCCUGGUCAGGACGAUAGUCAGGGGAAACCCUGAUGGAGGUCCGUAGCGAUUCUGACGUGCAAAUCGAUCGUCUGAACUGGGUAUAGGGGCGAAAGACUAAUCGAACCAUC